CUCCACGCCACUUCCCCACCAUCCCUCCCUGCCGCUUUCCCGAAGUCCUUGACGGUGGGGCUAACACAGCACUGGGGUCGUAACUGUUGGUAGGGGUCAGCUUUCCCUUUUGGAUCGGGCGCUUUUGGAAACAGGAACUGAGCCGCCUUCUUCUGUCAAGGUUUCGCUGAUAUUUAUAAACUUCUGCCUGACUGCUGGAGGCUGGGAACAGAUUUGAGAAAGGAACUUCUACCCUCUGGGACCGGAGGAGGGGAAGACCGACCAUAAACAGGAGAAAGUAAAAGAUGCCCAAGGCUUCCAUCCGGGCUCUGGGGAACAAUGGGGGGAUUUGGGCGGAGGUGGGGGGCAAGGCAGCUCUCAGAGGGUCACGGAAGGCCACACAGAGAGUGACAGGCUGUCAGCCUGAGGGUGGUGAUCGAGGGAACAGUGGGUGUUUGGAGGCCUACCAAGAGGAGCUGAAUUUUCUUCAUAUGCUUCUACUGAAACAAGACUUUACGACAGAUGGAGUACACAGAGCGGCUGUGAGAAUCCAUCUACUUCCUGGCUAUGGAAACAAUGGACCCCAAGAAAUUGGAAUUUCCCCAGGAAUCUCACGCUGAGAGAAGGAAAAAGCUGUAGCCUGGUGCCGGCCAGAGGAGGAAACUGUCCGCUGGAAAGAGAUUUCACACAGUGUUGACAGUCGAAACGAGAAACUGAAGGCCGAAUAUCGACGGGUGAAUGAUGGCCAGGACCACACCUCAGCAGAGGCUGCUUAGUCGUGCACACCUAAACAUCGUGUGAUCACCCCCAGGGAUGUCUUAGGGGGUAUCACUCAGCCCCUUUGUUCCUCUUCCCAAUAUGACCAUAUUGAGUAAACACCCUUUCCCUGUUUUUCGUCAUUAUUUGGGCCCUUUAACUGGCCCACUGAAGAUGAACGGCCCAGCCCCAUGUGUUAGGGGGCUACCUACCCAGGACCCAAGCUCCCACCCUAAUAACUUAGUAACAAUGACUGCUCACUGUUUACAAAAUAUAGUAACGGAACCAAACUGAGCUUAUUAAAUUUGCUGUAGGAAGGGUGAACAUCCCAAUAAUGUCUCAAAACAAAAGAAAGAAAAAGAACUUCUAGGGCCAGGACAAGGGGUGUUAAGGUCCAUGUUGCAAGGUGGCUUUGGGUCCAUACAGCACUUCACCGUGAUAGCACAGCUUUUGGUGUGUUAGAUGUAGUGAAAUUAGGGUCCUGAAGCUGUGUUCCAUGGACAAAGUCUGAGUCUUGAUAUCUAAGCUCUUUGGCUCAUGGUUGCUUUUGCCCUAGGGAGCCCAGCUAUCCUGGAGCAGGCAGCGAGGCUAUUUUUGCUCAGCCUGAGUUUUGUUCGAGGAAAACAUGGGGAGCGAUGUUUUCUGGUGGGCUAGAUAGGGAAAAGAAGGAACCCCACUGCAGUGCUGAAGAGAGGCUGGUGGAGUCAUAGAGCUGGAGAACAUGACUUAUCAACCGAAGAGUGGAAAAUUAAGGCCCUCCAAAAAUGGCUGGGUAGACAUGGCGGGCUGAGUCAGCCACUAAUUGUGUGGCUGCACUUUAAUGGAGUCUCCAUGUCAUUAGGCUCAUAAAAUUGGCUGCUUCCAUCAUGCACUGAAGCCACUACACAUCCCUAAACCUCAUGUAAGAACAAAAGGGUAAGUGUGUUGGGUUGGGGUUUAAGGUUUCAGGAGUGGAGAAAUAUUCAUCCAUUCCUGGAAUUCCCUGUUUCAGUCUAACUUACGAAUAACCCUCCCUUCUGUUAAUUUUUUUUUCCCUCAUAAGAAGAGCUAUCCAAAACCCAGAGAGAUGGAGAAAGGGUAUUUGGAAAAGCUCUUAUUCACUGUGGUGGUUGGAAAGAAAAUGGCCCCCAUAGGGAGUGGCUGGGUUAGGAGGUGUGGCUUUGCUGGAGUAGAUGUGAAUUUAUUGGAGGUGUCACUGUGGAGGUGAGCUUCGAGGUUUCACAUAUGCUCAAACUAUGCCCAGCGCCUCAGUUCACUUCCUGUUGCCUGCACGAAUUGUAGCAAUCUCAGCUCCUUCUCCAGCACCGUGCCUUCCUGCACA
Long non-coding RNA from Peromyscus leucopus (white-footed mouse), 2056 nucleotides. RefSeq lists it as uncharacterized. The transcript is spliced from 3 exons. The record is from RefSeq and is a predicted model, not a curated record. NCBI's taxonomy places the organism in Eukaryota, Metazoa, Chordata, Mammalia, Rodentia, Cricetidae.